This is an RNA transcript of Piliocolobus tephrosceles (Ugandan red Colobus), 4253 nucleotides long. It is a transcript of the gene named activating transcription factor 2, with no coding region annotated. The record is from RefSeq and is a predicted model, not a curated record. Lineage: Eukaryota; Metazoa; Chordata; Mammalia; Primates; Cercopithecidae. The transcript has 15 exons.
GGGUUGUCAGUCCGAUCUCGCGAGAGAGGACGGAAGCCUGUGGGAGUCCGUGGCCUUUAAAGUGCCGUUCAGCCUUUUCGUCCAGGGGUGGUUUGUAAACACGGCUGUGCUCGGGGCUCGCAGGUGACCGAAAGGAUCAUGAACUAUUGACCUGGAAAGGAUACUAGAUGGAAACUUGAGAAAGGACUGCUUACUUGAUUAGACCUAAGGCAUUCCUGGAAGCAGAGUAAAUAAAACUCAUGGCCCACCAGCUAGAAAGUAUUCUUGCCAUGAGAAAAAGAAUGUGAUAAGUUAUUCAACUUAUGAAAUUCAAGUUACAUGUGAAUUCUGCCAGGCAAUACAAGGACCUGUGGAAUAUGAGUGAUGACAAACCCUUUCUAUGCACUGCGCCUGGAUGUGGCCAGCGUUUUACCAACGAGGAUCAUUUGGCUGUCCAUAAACAUAAACAUGAGAUGACACUGAAAUUUGGUCCAGCACGUAAUGACAGUGUCAUUGUGGCUGAUCAGACCCCAACACCAACCAGAUUCUUGAAAAACUGUGAAGAAGUGGGUUUGUUUAAUGAGUUGGCAAGUCCAUUUGAGAAUGAAUUCAAGAAAGCUUCAGAAGACGACAUUAAAAAAAUGCCUCUAGAUUUAUCCCCUCUUGCAACACCUAUCAUAAGAAGCAAAAUUGAGGAACCUUCUGUUGUAGAAACAACUCACCAGGAUAGUCCUUUACCUCACCCAGAGUCUACUACCAGUGAUGAGAAGGAAGUACCAUUGGCACAAACUGCACAGCCCACAUCAGCUAUUGUUCGUCCAGCAUCAUUACAGGUUCCCAAUGUGCUGCUUACAAGUUCUGACUCAAGUGUAAUUAUUCAGCAGGCAGUACCUUCACCAACCUCAAGUACCGUAAUCACCCAGGCACCAUCCUCUAACAGGCCAAUUGUCCCUGUACCAGGCCCAUUUCCUCUUCUGUUACAUCUUCCUAAUGGACAAACCAUGCCUGUUGCUAUUCCUGCAUCAAUUACAAGUUCUAAUGUGCAUGUUCCAGCUGCAGUCCCACUUGUUCGACCAGUCACCAUGGUGCCUAGUGUUCCAGGAAUCCCGGGUCCUUCCUCUCCCCAACCAGUACAGUCGGAAGCAAAAAUGAGAUUAAAAGCUGCUUUGACCCAGCAACAUCCUCCAGUUACCAAUGGUGAUACUGUCAAAGGUCAUGGUAGUGGAUUGGUUAGGACUCAGUCAGAGGAAUCUCGACCACAGUCAUUACAACAGCCAGCCACAUCCACUACAGAGACUCCGGCUUCUCCAGCUCACACAACUCCACAGACCCAAAGUACAAGUGGUCGUCGGAGAAGAGCAGCUAACGAAGAUCCUGAUGAAAAAAGGAGAAAGUUUUUAGAGCGAAAUAGAGCAGCCGCUUCAAGAUGCCGACAAAAAAGGAAAGUCUGGGUUCAGUCUUUAGAGAAGAAAGCAGAAGACUUGAGUUCAUUAAAUGGUCAGCUGCAGUGAAUAUAUUGCUCGUGAAAGGUGCCAGAUUGACAGCUUUGGAAACUGAAGGACUCUAAUUAUCCACAGACCAGAGUGAAGUCACCCUGCUGAGAAAUGAAGUGGCACAGCUGAAACAGCUUCUUCUGGCUCAUAAAGAUUGCCCUGUAACCGCCAUGCAGAAGAAAUCUGGCUAUCAUACUGCUGAUAAAGAUGAUAGUUCAGAAGACAUUUCAGUGCCGAGUAGUCCACAUACAGAAGCUAUACAGCAUAGUUCGGUCAGCACAUCCAACGGAGUCAGUUCAACCUCCAAGGCAGAAGCUGUAGCCACUUCAGUCCUCACCCAGAUGGCGGACCAGAGUACAGAGCCUGCUCUUUCACAGAUCGUUAUGGCUCCUUCCUCCCAGUCACAGCCCUCAGGAAGUUGAUUAAAAACCUGCAGUACGACAGUUUUAGAUACUCAUUAGUGACUUCAAAGGGAAAUCAAGGAAAGACCAGUUUCCAUUUAUGCGAAAUCUGUGGUUGUAAAUUUUUUUUUAUUUACUUGAAAUUAAAUUUGGCUCUAAAGUUGGUGUAGCAGCAGUUGAUCAGACUGAAAAACAGUUUUUAGUCUCUGGAAAAAGACUGAUUUUGCUUUUUUUAUAAAUAUUAGUAGAUUUAUUAAUUUUUCUGUGCUCAAUGUGUAAAUUGUAUUAUAAUUCAUUGUGGUUUAUUUCACUUUUAAUUUGUUGGUGUUUUAAUAAAUGGGGGUGUUACUGAAUCUUUCUUCCCACUUCCAUUUCUUUUGACCACCCCUUAACCCUCAACUGUGAUGGUAGUAGUAUUAUCAUUUAUACCAAAGUUUUGCAUAGUCCCUGUUGACUUUGUAAUGUUAACGGAGUCAUAAAAGCACUAGGCAAGAGAAAGAUAGAAAUUUGCUUUUAAUCUUUUUGCCUUUUAUUUUGCACAUUAUGCAAAAGGAAAAACAUUAAAGAACACUUUUUUUUAAGUGAGUGAAAACAUGGUAAAGACAUACGGUGCUUUUAUGCACAUUGUUAAGCUAAAUCAAGGUCAUUUAUAAUCAUUUUCCUUUUUUAUUUAAGGUUUUAAGUAAACAAAUUUUAGAAUUUUCAGCAUUUCAAAAAUGAUUUUAUUUUUCAAGUCUUAAAUUCAAUAUUUUACACGUAUGUUUUGAGGCUAAAAAAUAUGAAAUUAUAUAAUGUAUGAUACAGGGUUAUCAAAUAUCUAAUAAUUUUUGAAAUUAGCUCUUGUUUUUGGUUUUUUUGUUGUUGUUUUUACAGAUUUCAGGUUACAAACUGCAAAGUUUAUGCAUAAUUAAGUAUGGUAUGGUUGCCAGAAAAGCCUAAAAUUACUACUUAGAAAAUUUAAAACUGUUUACCCCCAUUGUCUUGUACUUGCGAGCUAACUUGUACUUAUUCUUGUGAAAGCACUGUCAUCUUUUAGUAGCAAAUUUUGAUAAUGUUUCUCGUGGAAAAAAAGUCAGUAUCUAUCUUUAGAACAAUGUAAUUAUAAUGUGGGAAGCGUGCAUGAAUGAGAGAGAGUGUGUGUAUCUGUGUGUGCGAGCGUGCGUGUGUGUGUGUGUGUCUUUCAGUAGUUUAUGCCAGCAAUCUUUGCUUGAAUGUUUAACGAUGCCUUCAGUGUGAUGCUGGCCAAUAGAUGAUUGCAGUUUAAAAUGUCAUUGUGCAGGCUUGGAUAACUAACAUUCCAUGAUGUAGCUUGUUUCUGAUGAGAUGAUUGUAGGUACACUUUUCUCAUUAUCCAAUCAUCUGUGGGAUACUUAGUUUUCUAAUGUGCCAUUAUCUAUUUUUAUUCUGCAGUUAUGUUCAAAAUACAGUACAUAUUUUAAAAUAGAAUAAAUUGUUAAACAUAAAAUUUUAAAAGUAGUAGAUGUGCGUAAGAAAACUUUGUAAAAUAGUUAUGAGUCCUACCCAGUAGCAACUUCUGGCAUUCAAGCAGGAUUCCACUAUGUAAAUAUCUGUAAUGCAUUUAUAAUAAGUUGUGUAGUUUGUCCUGCAUCCAUACUACACUAUUUGCUAAAGUCUCAGUGCCAUCUCUUAAUGAGACUGACAUUUUAAAAGUCUGUAUGGAAUAUCCUUGAUAAUUCAAGGAAAUAUCCCACCUGCCUAAGUUCCAAACUGGGAAACAUUCAGAUUAUAUAUAAAUGACAUUUCAGGACUUUAAGUAUGAAGAUAAUGGGAAUUUUAUUGUUUAGCUUAUUAUAAUGAGAGCAUUUUUAUUUGAUAAUUCUUAAAUUUUCAAUUUUCAACAAAUUUCAUUAUUUUAAAGUAAUCAGUUUCAAAUCAUGAUUUUGAUAUCAUUAUUCUAAGGAGUUAUCUCAAAGGCACAAAAUACGAAUUCUGCAAGAAGGGUAUUUUUUAUUGUAGUUUGAAUAGGUUAGGAAAAGCCUCAAUUUUUCACUCUAAGUCCGUCAGUACAUUUUUCUUUCAUCUUAUUACUUAUGCAAGUUAAGGUUCUUUGGUAACAGAAUUCUUGCAACUGUAAAAUAAAACUACAUAGAUGUAAGAAGUCAUGUAAACGGUUAACAAGCUUACCAAGGUUAGCAAAACUUUCAUUGUAAAUCAGUCUGUACUGAGCAAAUAUAAAAAUCAUUAUUAGUGUAUAAACACAAAUUCCAUUUUGACUUUCAGGAUGUCAUACUACUUCUGUACCUAGCAUUUUCAGUCCUUAUAUUUGCAAUGUUACACAAACUGUACUAUUUUCUUUUAUGUGCAGUUUGCAUGAGUAAACCAUCAGAGAAUAAAUUCUAUCUUUAAAUUAUGUUCAUAA